UACGAAAGGGGCUAGCGUUUUUAGGAAUUACUGGGCGUAAAGCGCACGUAGGCGGCCUUGUAAGUUGGGGGUGAAAUCCCGGGGCUCAACUCCGGAACUGCCUUCAAGACUGCAAAGCUAGAGGACGCGAGAGGUUAGCGGAAUUCCGAGUGUAGAGGUGAAAUUCGUAGAUAUUCGGAAGAACACCAGUGGCGAAGGCGGCUAACUGGCGCGUUUCUGACGCUGAGGUGCGAAAGCGUGGGGAGCAAACAGG
RNAcentral lists this ribosomal RNA (253 nucleotides) under uncultured bacterium. RNAcentral's name for it is "partial 16S ribosomal RNA". It matches the Rfam family "Bacterial small subunit ribosomal RNA", at positions 524 to 776 of the family's 1533-position model. The record is from RNAcentral.